CUGGUCUGACAGGAUGAUCAGCCACACUGGAACUGAGACACGGUCCAGACUACUUCGGCACGUAGCAGUGGGGAAUAUUGAGCAAUGUCGGCAACCCUGACACACCCACGCCACGUGGACCACGACGCAUUUCGGUGUGUAAACUCCUUUUCUCAAGGAAGAUAAUGACGGUACUUGUUGAAUAAACCCCGGCUAACUCCGUGGCAGCAGCCGCUGUCAUACAGAUGGUGCCAGCGUCACUCGGAAUCACUGAGUGUAAAGCGCAUGUAGGCGGACUUACAAGUCAGGUGUGAAAUCCUAUGGCUCAACCAUAGAACAGCACUUGAAACUGUAAGUCUAGCGUUCGGGAGAGGCACAUGGCAUUUCCGGAGUAGGAGUAAAAUCCGCAGAGAUCGGAAGGAAUACCUAUUGCGAAGGCGAUCUGCUGGAACGCAACUGACGCUCAGAUGCGAAAGCGUGGGUAGCAAACAGGAUUAGAUACCCUGGUAGUCCACGCCCUAAACGAUGGAUGCUAGUUGUUGGGGAGCCAGUCUCUUCAGUAAUGCAGCUAACGCAUUAAGCAUCCCGUCCUGGGGAGUACGGUCGCAAGAUUAAAACUCAAAGGAAUAUACGGGGACCCGCACAAGCGGUGGAGCAUGAGGUUUAAUUUGAAGAUACGCGAAGAACCUUACCUGGGCUUGACAUCCUAAAA
RNAcentral lists this ribosomal RNA (691 nucleotides) under uncultured organism. RNAcentral describes it as "bacterial SSU rRNA". It matches the Rfam family "Bacterial small subunit ribosomal RNA", at positions 287 to 994 of the family's 1533-position model. The record is from RNAcentral.